GACGAACCGUGCGAACGUUGUUCGGAAUCACUGGGCUUAAAGGGCGCGUAGGCGGCCGAUCGCGUCCGGGGUGAAAGCUUCCGGCUCAACCGGAAAAGCGCCUCGGGUACGGAUCGGCUGGAGGGAGGUAGGGGCAGGUGGAACUUCCGGUGGAGCGGUGAAAUGCGUUGAGAUCGGAAGGAACGCCGGUGGCGAAAGCGACCUGCUGGACCUUUUCUGACGCUGAUGCGCGAAAGCUAGGGGAGCGAACGGG
RNAcentral lists this ribosomal RNA (253 nucleotides) under uncultured bacterium. RNAcentral describes it as "partial 16S ribosomal RNA". It matches the Rfam family "Bacterial small subunit ribosomal RNA", at positions 524 to 776 of the family's 1533-position model. The record is from RNAcentral.